CGGUAUCUGUGCAUUUAAAAAGAUGUUAUUAAAAACCCAGUGCAUUCAUAUAAAUAACUUAAGAUACUUUAUACAAUCUAAAAGCAUCUUCGAUACAAAUCUGAAUUGAUUGAUUACUUACACCACGUUUCAAAGUAUUAUUCAAAUUGUAUUUAAAUGUCAUAAAAAUUAUUUUUUUUUGUUUCUUAGUUUAACUCAUGAAUGAUAUUGUGUCUCUUUGGCUCUUUGGAUCGCUGAAAUCAAAUGUCAGACACCUGUGAUAAUUAGUUUGCCAGGUGAGUCCAAUUAUAGUAAAACUACUUAAAAAGGAUGUUCCCCAUUAUUAAGCAGGCCACAUGUUUCAAGCAACAUGGGAAAGAAAAACGAUCUCUCUGCAGCCGAAAAGCAUCAAAUAGUGCAAUGUCUUGUACAAGGUAUGAAAACAUUACAUAUGUCUGUACUGUGAAGAGGUUUGUGGCUGAUUCAGAGCACAGAUGGCUUCGUGCAGAUAAAGGCAAAAUGAGGAAGCUUUCUGCCAGGCAAGUUAAUAAGAUUAAGAGUGCAGCUGCAAAUUCAACAAAUGACCAUUUUCAAAUUUUGUGUAUAUAAAAAUGUUAUACAUUUUUUAUCACAAAAAAAAAACAAAUUACCAUUUCAGUUCUUUACAACCUAUAAAAUAAUGAAUAAAAAAUAUAAAAUACAUUUUGAGUUUUUUUUUUUAAGGAAUUUACUGUUGUCAUCGGGAGGUUUGUUCAAUAAAAUUCCAUUUAUACUCUUACGGGUGAUGACUUUUAUUAUACUGACUAGUGCUGGGCAGUAUUACCAAAAAUGCAUAUCACAGUAUUUUUCAAAAUUCUGACGGUUUCAUGGUAUAUUACAGUAUUUUUAUGAUUAUGAUGUACCCCUGGUAAAUUUUGGUACAUUUUGGGUUUACUUUUAUUUUAUUUCAUAAAGUGCCUUUGUGGUAAAGUUUCUAAAAUCUCUAAAAACUGUUUAAUACGGUUAAAAUACGGUUAUACAGUUCAUGGGUUAAAAACUGUAUAUAAAAUGUUUUAAAAAAUACUGAGUAUGAGGCUUGUAAGUUGAAAAGCCUUUUCAUUGGCUAGAAGUGGUGUCACUCAUUGUCAGAGUCUACCUUUCCUGUUGAUUGGUGCUUAGGCUGUAGGGGAGCGGGGAGAUGAGAGUGGGUGUGGGAGACGGAGCGAGAAGCAGGGGAAGAGAGAGAGAUGAACGCAGCAUCUAAAUAUAGAAUAAUAAUGUAAAACACGUUAUAUUUUGUUAUUUUAUCGGCAAGUCAAGCGCUGGGUUGUCAACCAGAGAACCUGAAAGUGGACAGAUAAGCCAAAGAGCCAAACUCGUAAAGUUAAGUUCUGCUGCUGAGGUCUGCCCCAUCGGUUAACAGCCCCCGAGUGAGCUGAAGUUCGCUUUCCCACUGAACCAGAGAGACUGGGUACCAGGUAUUAGUGCACCGUUUUCACCUCAAUUAUCACCAGAUAACCAGUCUAAACUGCCGUGAGGCUCAGACUUCCUCUGGCAACGCUGGAUUCCCCUUUCAGAAGCAAGACUGCAGUUCUCACCAUGUCUGCUAGAGCUACGUAGAGGAAGACCCCAGCGGUGACGGUGAGAAUCCAGGGCGAGUGCUGAGCCCACUGAUGACCCAUUGCCGUUCCCCCCAGCACCCCCACAUAUCCCAGCAGAGCCGAGAGCAGACUGAACACAGCCAGCCUGCGCACAGGCCAGCCUGCAGCCAACAGCACCGCCAGAUCACCUGCAGAGAGAGAGAGAGAGAGAGAGAGAACGAACAGCAGAUCAAAUGCUGCCCAGAAGCUGUAGGUCAUACCAAGUUCGUGAGGAAGCUCAUGGCAGAAGACUGCAAUAGUGGUGCUGAGUCCUCCAGUCAGGCUCUGAGAGAACGCAACACCUGCAACACACACAUAAAGGUGCUUCCUUUAAGUGUCGCCACAGCGGAUCAUCUGCCUCUAUCUUGUCCUAUUCCCUGCCUUCUCUACUGUUACACCAACCAUCUCCAUGUCCUCCUUCACUACAUCAAUGAAUCUUCUGAGCUCUUCCUCUUCUCCUUCUGCCUGGCAGCUUCAUCUCCAACAUCCUCUGUCCCUCUUCAAUACAUGUCCAAACCAUCUCAACCUGGCCUUUCUAGCUUUAUCUCUAAGCCGUUCCUUGUCGCUCCCAAUGAAAAUCUCAGCAUCUUCAUCUCUGCCACCUCCAGCUCAGCCUCCUGUCUUUUAGACAGUGCCACUGUCUCUAAACCAUACAUCAUAGCAGGUCUCACUACUGUCUUGUACACCUUCCCUUUCACUCUUGCUGUAUUCCUUCUGUCACACAUCAGCCCUGACACUCGUCACCACCCACUCCACCCUGCCUGCACCCUCUUCUUCACCUCUUUUUUACACAGUCCUUUGCUCUGAAUGGUUGACCCCACAUAUUUGAAGUCAUCCACCUUUAUGACCUCUACUCCUUGCAUCUGUACCUUUCCAUCUACCUCCCUCUCAUUCACACACAUGUAUGCCGUCUUAUCUCUGCUGACCUUCAUUCCUCUUCUCUCCAGUGCAAACCUCCACCUUUCCAGGUUCUCUUCCACCUGCUCUCUACUCUCCCCACUGCAAACAUCAUGGUCCAUGGGACCUCCUGUCUGACCUCAUAUGUCAACCUGUCCAUCACCAUUGCAAACAGGAAGGGGUUAAGAGCUGAUCCGUGAUGUAACCCUAUCUUCACCUUGAAACCAUUUUUCAUUUCAACUGCACACCUCACCACUGUCUUACUGUCCUCAUACAUACACCAACCUCACAUACUUUACAGGAACUCCUAAUACAGUACCACAGUUCUUCUCUUCAAACCCUGUCAUAUGCUUUCUCUAGAUUCACAAAGACACAGUGAAGUUCCCUCUGGCCUUCUCUAUACUUCUCUACCAUCACUCUCAAAGCAAAAGUUGCAUCUGGGGUACUCUUUCUGGGCAUGAAACCAAACUGAUGCAUGCUAAGGAGAACCUCUCAUCUUAGCCUCACUUCAACAUCUCUUUCCCAUAUCUUCAUGGUGUGACUAAUCAACUUUAUACCUCUGUAGUUACUGCAGCUCUGCACAUCACCAUUGUUCUUAAAAAUGGGGACCAGGACACCUCUUCUCCACUCAUUAGGCAUCCUCUCACUUUCCAGGAUUGUGUUAAAACAACCUGGUCAAAAAGUCGACUGCCUUUUCUCCUGAACAUCUCCAUACCUCCACAGGUAUGUCAUCCGGGCCAACUACCUUUCCAUUCUUCAUCCUCUUUUUCUCUGCACUUCCUGCUCCACUAUAUGCUUCACCUCGGCCCUCCCCUCUCUCUCUCAUUUCCUCAUUCAUCAAUUCUUCAAAAUACUCCUUCCAUCUACUCAACACUCUCUGUUCACUCACUAAUACUUGCUGUACAUCUUUUCCAACUCUAUCUCUCUGUUUAACCAAACGAUACAAGUCCCUUACUCCUUUUUUUACUGUCUAUCCUCUUAUACAAUCUCUCUUAGACCUGGGCCUUUGCCUUUACCGCAGUUUUUUGUGGUGCAACUAGCCUCACAGUACUUCUGCCUACUUUCUUCAUCACAUUGAUUUCUUAGCUACACCUUUUCUUAGCCGCCAACUUUUUUUGUCUUCUUUCCUCACUACCUUUGCUGUACUUUCUCAGUUUUGAGGUAGCCCCUCACUGCCAGAAUGCCCUUAUUGUUAUUCCCCUAUUGUUCUAUGUUAUCCACAUAGAAUAGUAACAGGAUUAGAACUUGCCCAUCCCAGUGUUCUCAGAGAUACACACCAAUAGCCAGCCCAUCUGUUAAGUUGUGGAUCCCGUCCCCCAUCACCACCAUCCAGGCCACGCUGCCGAGCCCUGAGGAUCCAUUAUCAGGAGGAGCGUGGGAGUGACCUGAAUCAGAGCUGGUUUGGUCAGGAGGAGAGGAACCUGUGGAGAUGUGCAUUCUGAUGCUAGUUAUACUUUAGUGGAGAAACAGACUUUUUCCUCUAUUCAUUUUCAUACUUAUUGGUUGAUGUAUCUUGGUAGAGAAUCUUUUACAGCGUACCAGCCAGAGCCCCCAGCUCCUGGACCACUUCUGCUUGCUGCCUCUUCUUCCUGGACUUCUGAGUGAACAAACAAACACACAAAAGCUAUCAUCUGCUUCUCUUCACCAGUUUAAAUCUAUAGUUUUACUCAGACAGGGUUCCCAUAAAAUUAUUAAUGAAGAAAUCCGCUAUUUCAGUUUAAUCACACAACUAGAUCUUAUUCUUUCUUCCAUCUGGUGCCCCACACUGGGAGUGGUGGAAUGAAUCUCACCUUGUAUUGUUGUCUAAUUACUAUUAUACUCUCCAAUACAAAGAGCAGGAAAAGCCCUCCCAGCACGCUCAGACCCUUCAGCACCACAUCCCGGUGAUCGGUGUGUGGACCAGAGCUGGCCUGAGAGACCACAGAAUAUUCAGGUUAUUCCAGUCACUUACAUGAGGCAGAAGGUGCAGCAGGGCAUCUCCACACAGGGUGCCCACAGCCAUGGCAGCCAUUGGGCAGAGGAAGGUGCGGAGGCUGGAUGGUGAAAUCAGUGGUGCCAGACCCAGAGCAAGCAGAGAUGGCAGACUGAUCACGAACAGAGCCAAGGAGGCCCAACCUAGAGCUGAGAUUAAACAUAACACACACACACACAGGUCCUGUAAACUAAAUUACAAUCUAAAGAAAAUAUGACUUAGUAUAUUUCUGUUUUAACGUGUCAGAACAGUAGUUGGGGGUGUUCAGGCAUUAUAUGUUGUGAGUUGUGUGGGUUUUAAAGUGUUUAUUAUACUAUAGAUAUUAUAGCACCCUGCUAUAAUACCCCUAGAGCAGGGCUAUUUAAUUAGAAUUCAGUGCGGCCCAAGUAGAGAGAAUUUUGUCAAGCCAUGGUCCGGACCAUCGUCAUUUUUAACUUAUGAUUCAGUGCUUUAUCCUGUAUACUGAAAAAGCGUAUAGUUGUAUCAGUGUUUUAGCAACAACUGAAAGACAAAAUUGCAAAUACUAUUCAGUAUAUUUCAACAAUAUGUAUUGUUUUAAAUAGGCCUGUCACAAUAAUUACAUUAUUAACUUAUCAUACAAUAAAUGGAAACACCAAUAAUUAUUAUUAAUGUAAAUCAAAAUGCUAUAUUUAUUCUAUUUGAUUUUAUUUAUAUUAGAUUUAGGUCUGUCUGUCAAAUCAAAUCAAAUUUAUUUGUGUAGUGCUUUUUACAACUGGUUUUGGCACAAAGCAGCUUUACAGAAACAUGAUCGCAGGAUAAUUACAUGUCAUGAUAAUUACAUGAAUGACAAACUGUACAAUAUAUGGAGAAAUGUUUGCUGAACUCGGCCAGAAUAUCAGCUUUGUUUAAAAACAGCAGUUUUAUUUUAUUUAAUAUUAUCACUGUUAUGUUUCAUAAAUGUAGUAUUUAAAAAAAAAAAAAUCUGGUGCGCACCAUCUGAAUUAGCCUUUCUCGCUUUAUUCUCUGACUGCUGCUUCUCUCUGUGUACUUCGCCUGUGUUUGUCUCCGCCCAUUGGCAGAGGAUUUGGUGAUCUUACAACACACGUGAUUGGUCUGUGAGUUUACUGCGCCACAAACCACGCAUACCGUAAAGACGUUCUGCCUCUUUAAAUGAACACUGUCAGAACUAAAUUGUUCUCAGUAGUUUAUCGGUUUGGAUCCGCCUAUUAGUGACCUCUCACCAAUCACCACUAUUCACCAAUCAAGCCUAAAUAAGUAAAUACCAGAAAUGAUUGAUUUAUUGGUGUCAGUUUCACAGGAUUUCACCACCAAUAUUCUUCACCACAGAUUUACCCUAUUUAUUUCAUUAUAGCGCCACCAUGUGGAGUAAUAAAACAGUAAAUUAAGUAUGUCAAAUGUAUUCUUAAAAUCACCUAUGUAUCUACAAAAAAUAUCCAUAUUUGGUGCUACAUAAUGAUAAUAUAUCACGAAUGAAAAUGAUAUAAUAUAUUGCUAUAUUGAUUAUUGUAGCACCCCUGAUAGUGUACAGAGUAUAUCAGGGUUUGUACAGUCAUAAAAAAACUGGAAAAGUCAUAAAGUUUGAAAAUAGCAAUUUCCAGGCCUGGAUAUGUUUUGGAAAAAUAAAAAUACCCAAAAGGUUUUGGAAGAAGUCAUGGAAACUUGAAAAUUGUUUCCAUGUAUUGAUAUAAUUUUAUGGGUAACUCCAUCACAACUCUUUGUAUAAGUUAGCGGUCUUUGUGGGUCCUAUUUAGACUGGAGUUUUAGCUUCAACUAUAACUGUAAAUUUACUAGGUGAAAUAAAAUUCUGAUUUAA
Molecule: long non-coding RNA, 6262 nt
Organism: Astyanax mexicanus (Mexican tetra)
Lineage: Eukaryota; Metazoa; Chordata; Actinopteri; Characiformes; Acestrorhamphidae
Exons: 5
Source: RefSeq, a predicted model, not a curated record